Molecule: microRNA, 22 nt
Filed under: Echinococcus granulosus
Lineage: Eukaryota; Metazoa; Platyhelminthes; Cestoda; Cyclophyllidea; Taeniidae
Also listed under: 1 other name
Description: egr-miR-133-5p
Gene: egr-miR-133-5p
Source: miRBase by way of RNAcentral
GGCUGAUUUGUGGGGCUCAGAA